GUCUGAAACCGCGGGAGCUCGGGGAACCGGGCUGAGAGGGCGGCCGCCGGGCGCCGCCGACCGCUAUCCACCUGACCUGGGUAAUGCCAGCGUAGGGAGGCCCUCAUGAAGACCU
RNAcentral lists this non-coding RNA (115 nucleotides) under Candidatus Rokuibacteriota. RNAcentral describes it as "Candidatus Rokubacteria TPP sequence". It matches the Rfam family "TPP riboswitch aptamer (THI element)". From Rfam's summary of the family: Vitamin B(1) in its active form thiamin pyrophosphate (TPP) is an essential coenzyme that is synthesised by coupling of pyrimidine and thiazole moieties in bacteria. The previously detected thiamin-regulatory element, thi box was extended, resulting in a new, highly conserved RNA secondary structure, the THI element, which is widely distributed in eubacteria and also occurs in some archaea. The record is from RNAcentral.